UAAUUACUCCCUCCGUCCGGAAAUACUUGUCUCAAAAAUGCAUAAAAAUGGAUGUAUCUAGAACUAAAAUAUGUCUAGAUGCAUUCAUUACUUCAACAAGUAUUUCCGGACGGAGGGAGUAUUUA
Non-coding RNA from Triticum aestivum (bread wheat), 125 nucleotides. The record is from Rfam. NCBI's taxonomy places the organism in Eukaryota, Viridiplantae, Streptophyta, Magnoliopsida, Poales, Poaceae.